Molecule: ribosomal RNA, 121 nt
Filed under: Transversotrema cardinale
Lineage: Eukaryota; Metazoa; Platyhelminthes; Trematoda; Azygiida; Transversotrematidae
Description: Transversotrema cardinalis partial 5.8S ribosomal RNA
Rfam family: 5.8S ribosomal RNA
About the family: 5.8S ribosomal RNA (5.8S rRNA) is a component of the large subunit of the eukaryotic ribosome.
Source: RNAcentral
UGUCGAUGAAGAGCGCAGCAAACUGUGUGAAUUAAUGUGAACUGCAACCGCCAUGAACAUCGACAACUUGAUUGCACAUUGCGGCCAUGGGUUAGCCUGUGGCCACGCCUGUCCGAGAGUC